UAAUUUCUCAAAUUUAAUAAUGGGCAGUUUUUUUUAACUUACAUAUCCUAUAUGGAAAUAACAGACAUGAGCAUGUUUCAUUUAGUUAGUUCUACCACCUCCACAUUAAUUUUAAACCGGGUUAAAUUUAAGGUUGUAGUAAAGUUCCGCGUCAGUCCACAGGGGGCGCUGUGUCACUGUCAGAAGAUACAGUAGGAUCCCUUAUUGAUGUCACUUGUUAAAUCCACUUCAAUCAGUGUAGAUGAAAGGGAGGAGACAGGUUAAAGGUUAACCUGGUUAUAUCAAAAGAUUUAAGUGCCUUUGAACAGGUUAUGGUAGUAGGUGCCAGGUUAUGGUAGUAGGUGCCAGGUUAUGGUAGUAGGUGCCAGGUUAUGGUAGGAGGUGCCAGGUUGUGGUAGGAGGUGCCAGGUUAUGGUAGGAGGUGCCAGGUUAUGGUAGGAGGUGCCAGGUUAUGGUAGGAGGUGCCAGGUUAUGGUAGGAGGUGCCAGGUUAUGGUAGGAGGUGCCAGGCACACUGGAUUGAGUGUGUCAACAACUGCAAUGUUGCUGGGUUAUUCACACUCAACAGGCUCCCAUGUGUAUCAAGAAUGGUCCACCACCCAAAGGACAUCCAGCCAACUUGACACAACUGUGGGGUGGGAUGGACGCAAUAUUAGGAAGGUGUUCUUAUUGUUUGGUAUACUUAUGUUACACAUCAUACAGGCCUACAUUAUGUUACACAUCAUACAGGCCUACAUUAUGUUACACAUCAUACAGGCCAACAUUAUGUCACACAUCAUACAGGCCUACAUUGUUACACAUCAUACAGGCCUACAGUAUGUUACACAUCAUACAGGCCUACAUUAUGUUACACAUCAUACAGGCCUACAUUAUGUUACACAUCAUACAGGCCUACAUUAUGUUACACAUCAUACAGGCCAACAUUAUGUCACACAUCAUACAGGCCUACAUUAUGUUACACAUCAUACAGGCCUACAUUAUGUUACACAUCAUACAGGCCUACAUUAU
Molecule: long non-coding RNA, 1007 nt
Organism: Oncorhynchus tshawytscha (Chinook salmon)
Lineage: Eukaryota; Metazoa; Chordata; Actinopteri; Salmoniformes; Salmonidae
Source: Ensembl